UAAUUCUCUAGUGGCGCACGGGUGAGUAACACGUGAGUAACCUGCCCCCGAGAGCGGGAUAGCCCUGGGAAACUGGGAUUAAUACCGCAUAGUAUCGAAAGAUUAAAGCAGCAAUGCGCUUGGGGAUGGGCUCGCGGGCCUAUUAGUUAGUUGGUGAGGUAACGGCUCACCAAGGCGAUGACGGGUAGCCGGUCUGAGAGGAUGUCCGGCCACACUGGAACUGAGACACGGUCCAGACACCUACGGGAGGCAGCAG
RNAcentral lists this ribosomal RNA (256 nucleotides) under uncultured bacterium. RNAcentral's name for it is "partial 16S ribosomal RNA". It matches the Rfam family "Bacterial small subunit ribosomal RNA", at positions 85 to 354 of the family's 1533-position model. The record is from RNAcentral.